This 498-nucleotide ribosomal RNA is filed under the name Bacillus sp. SC4s9. RNAcentral describes it as "bacterial SSU rRNA". It matches the Rfam family "Bacterial small subunit ribosomal RNA", at positions 936 to 1435 of the family's 1533-position model. The record is from RNAcentral. Lineage: Bacteria; Bacillati; Bacillota; Bacilli; Caryophanales; Bacillaceae.
AGCAUGUGGUUUAAUUGGAAGCAACGCGAAGAACCUUACCAGGUCUUGACAUCCUCUGNAAACCCUAGAGAUAGGGCUUCUCCUUCGGGAGCAGAGUGACAGGUGGUGCAUGGUUGUCGUCAGCUCGUGUCGUGAGAUGUUGGGUUAAGUCCCGCAACGAGCGCAACCCUUGAUCUUAGUUGCCAUCAUUAAGUUGGGCACUCUAAGGUGACUGCCGGUGACAAACCGGAGGAAGGUGGGGAUGACGUCAAAUCAUCAUGCCCCUUAUGACCUGGGCUACACACGUGCUACAAUGGACGGUACAAAGAGCUGCAAGACCGCGAGGUGGAGCUAAUCUCAUAAAACCGUUCUCAGUUCGGAUUGUAGGCUGCAACUCGCCUACAUGAAGCUGGAAUCGCUAGUAAUCGCGGAUCAGCAUGCCGCGGUGAAUACGUUCCCGGGCCUUGUACACACCGCCCGUCACACCACGAGAGUUUGUAACACCCGAAGUCGGUGGGG